RNAcentral lists this ribosomal RNA (442 nucleotides) under uncultured bacterium. Its description in RNAcentral is "partial 16S ribosomal RNA". It matches the Rfam family "Bacterial small subunit ribosomal RNA", at positions 338 to 795 of the family's 1533-position model. The record is from RNAcentral.
CCUACGGGUGGCAGCAGUGGGGAAUAUUGGGCAAUGGUCGCAAGCCUGAACCAGCAACGCCGCGUGAAGGAAGAAGGCUUUCGGGUUGUAAACUUCUUUUGUCAGGGAAACGUCGAAGACGAUACCUGACGAAUAAACCACGGCUAACUACGUACCAGCAGCCGCGGUCAUACGGAGGUGGCAAGCGUUAUCCGGAUGUACUGGGUUUAAAGGGCGUGUUGCCGGGUUGACAAGUCAGAUGUGUAAUCCUGCGGCAUAACCGCAGAACUGCCUUUGAAACUGUUGAUCUUGAGUAGUGGAGAGGCAGACGGAAUGCCUGGUGGAGCGGUGAAAUGCGUAGAUAUUAGGAGGAAAACCAGUGGCGAAGGCGGUCUGCUGGACAGAAACUGACGGUGAGGCGCGAAAGCGUGGGGAGCAAACAGGAUUAGAGACCCCAGUAGUC